CCGGCCUCAGCCGGCGCACCUGGCGGAGGAGGAACCUCGCGACGCGCUCUCGGGCAUCGGUUUCUCCCAGCAAAGCUUGGAGGGUUUAGCUGCGCGGAGAGCUCAGCGAGCUCUUCUGUGUCUGUUUGGGGCGUGUGGGCUCCGGGAGCGUGAGGACCGGGAAGCUAGGAGGCUCCUUCCCUUCUGGCGGCUCCCUCACUGAGACCGGGCGGUUUGGUUGCGGGGGAAGUGGAGACGAGCCACCCUUGACCUUUGACUGCAAGAACUCACCUUGAGCAGGAUAGAGGCACGUGGACGGUGACCCUCGGGAUGCAAUAAAUGCUGAGACAGAUCAGGUGUGCAAGGCACAGAGCUAGAGGCCAGAGGCCUUUCUUCUCCAACCUUCAGUCACCUCUUUUUAAAGUGAAGCCAGCAUCCUCCUCGGGGUUUACUGUGAAAAUUAAGUGAGCUGACGCGUGCUGUGUUUUGAUGUUGCUUGGCUCCUACAAACAUUGAGUGGGCCAGACACUGUUCUGAAAAAUACGCAGUCGACUUUUGAACAGCACAGGCUUGAACUGCAUGCGGCCACUAAUACUCGGACUUCCUUCUGCCUCUGCCAUCCCUAAGACAGCAAGACCCACCCCUCCUGCUCCUCAGCCUACUCGAUGUGAUGAUG
Molecule: long non-coding RNA, 655 nt
Filed under: Homo sapiens (human)
Lineage: Eukaryota; Metazoa; Chordata; Mammalia; Primates; Hominidae
Description: non-protein coding STX18-AS1:10
Source: RNAcentral